GUGCCAGCAGCUGCGGUUAUACAAAAAAUACAAGUAAAUUUUAUUAAAUUAAGUUAAAUUGAUAAGUAUUUAAUAAUAAAAAAAUUUUUAGGUGAAAUUUUAAUUUUUUUAUUUUUAAAAUUAAAAGAAAUGUUGAAGCUAAAAAAUUUUGUUAAUAAACUAGGAUUAGAUACCCUAUUAUAAAAAAAUGUAUUUUUGAAAAAAAUUAGAGUAGUAAUAGUUAUGGUCUUGAAACUCAAAAAAUUUGGCGGUAUUUUAGUCUAUUCAGAGGAACCUGUGGUAUAAUCGAUAAUCCACGAUGAAUCUUACUUAUUUUUGUUUUUCAAUUUGUAUACCGCCGUUAUUUAAAAAUUUUUUGAAAAUAAUAAUUUUUAUAAUUUUUUAUUAAAUAGAAAGUCAGGUCAAGGUGCAGUUUAUAUUUAAGUAUUUCAUGGGUUACAAUAAAUUUAUUUAUACGGAUUAAAUUAUGAAAUUAGUUUAUGAAGGGGGAUUUGGUAGUAAAUUUUUAAAGAUUAAAAAAUUGAUUUUAGCUCUAAAAUAUG
RNAcentral lists this ribosomal RNA (542 nucleotides) under Eurynogaster sp. 135. Its description in RNAcentral is "partial 12S ribosomal RNA". The record is from RNAcentral. Lineage: Eukaryota; Metazoa; Arthropoda; Insecta; Diptera; Dolichopodidae.